Podarcis lilfordi (Lilford's wall lizard) is the source of this 78-nucleotide non-coding RNA. NCBI's taxonomy places the organism in Eukaryota, Metazoa, Chordata, Lepidosauria, Squamata, Lacertidae. The record is from the annotation of a GenBank genome assembly.
UCCAUCAGGGAUAGCUCAGUCAGUAGAGCAUGAGACUCUUAAUCUCAGGGCUGUGAGUUCGAUCCCUGCAUUUGGGAA